GGCGAAAGGGUGAGUAAUGCUUCGUUAAUGUACCCAUGGGACCGGGAUAAUUCGUGGAAACGGGUUGUAAUACCGGAUGAGACCCCAUGCACCACGGUGCCGGUGGUCAAAGGCAUGUUGCUUUCGGGCGCAUGCGCCGAUGGAGCGGACGAAGUCUGAUUAGCUUGUUGGUGGGGUAAUGGCCUACCAAGGCGAUGAUCAGUAGCGGGCCUGAGAUGGUGGCCCGCCACACUGGGACUGAGACACUGCCCAGACUCCUACGGGAGGCUGCAGUCGCGAAUCAUUCACAAUGGACGGAAGUCUGAUGAUGCCACGCCGCGUGCGGGAAGAAGGCCUUCGGGUUGUAAACCGCUGUCGAGAGGGGGGAAGUAUUGACUGCCCUCUGGAGGAAGCCCCGGCUAAACACGUGCCAGCAGCCGCGGUAAUACGUGUGGGGCAAGCGUUGUUCGGAAUCACUGGGCUUAAAGGGUGCGUAGGCGGCCUGCCAAGUCAGGGGUGAAAUCCCGCGGCCCAACCGUGGAAUUGCCUUUGAUACUGGUUGGCUUGAGUGUGCCAGGGGUGAGCGGAACGUGUGGUGUAGCGGUGAAAUGCGUAGAUAUCACACGGAAGGCCGGAGCCGAAGGGGGCUCACUGGGGCACAACUGACGCUGAGGCACGAAAGCGUGGGGAGCAGACAGGAUUAGAUACCCUGGUAGUCCACGCCGUAAACGAUGAGCACUAGGCGGUUGUCUUGUUAGAGAUGGCCGUUGGAGAGAAAUUGUUAAGUGCUCCGNCUGGGGAGUAUGGUCGCAAGGCUGAAACUCAAAGGAAUUGACGGGGGCUCACACAAGCGGUGGAGGAUGU
This 843-nucleotide ribosomal RNA is filed under the name uncultured organism. RNAcentral describes it as "bacterial SSU rRNA". It matches the Rfam family "Bacterial small subunit ribosomal RNA", at positions 97 to 942 of the family's 1533-position model. The record is from RNAcentral.